Molecule: ribosomal RNA, 253 nt
Filed under: uncultured bacterium
Lineage: Bacteria
Description: partial 16S ribosomal RNA
Rfam family: Bacterial small subunit ribosomal RNA
Source: RNAcentral
UACGUAGGGUGCGAGCGUUGUCCGGAAUUAUUGGGCGUAAAGAGCUCGUAGGCGGUGUGUCGCGUCGGCCGUGAAACCUGCAGCUUAACUGUGGGCUUGCGGUCGAUACGGGCAUCACUGGAGUUCGGCAGGGGAGACUGGAAUUCCUGGUGUAGCGGUGAAAUGCGCAGAUAUCAGGAGGAACACCGGUGGCGAAGGCGGGUCUCUGGGCCGAUACUGACGCUGAGGAGCGAAAGCGUGGGGAGCGAACAGG